GAUGAAGAACGCAGCGAAAUGCGAUGCGUAAUGUGAAUUGCAAAUUCAGUGAAUCAUCGAGUCUUUGAACGCACAUUGCGCCCCCUGGUAUUCCGGGGGGCAUGCCUGUCCGAGCGUCAUUGCUGCCCUCAAGCACGGCUUGUGUGUUGGGCCCCGUCCUCCGAUCCCGGGGGACGGGCCCGAAAGGCAGCGGCGGCACCGCGUCCGGUCCUCGAGCGUAUGGGGCUUUGUCACCCGCUCUGUAGGCCCGGCCGGCGCUUGCCGAUCAACCCAAAUUUUUAUCCAGGUUGACCUCGGAUCAGGUAGGGAUACCCGCUGAACUUAAGCAUAUCAAUAAGCGGAGGA
RNAcentral lists this unclassified non-coding RNA (345 nucleotides) under soil metagenome. RNAcentral describes it as "partial contains 5.8S ribosomal RNA, internal transcribed spacer 2, and large subunit ribosomal RNA". The stretch from base 1 to 119 matches the Rfam family "5.8S ribosomal RNA", at positions 35 to 154 of the family's 154-position model. The record is from RNAcentral.